AACGUAGGGGCCAAGCGUUAUCCGGAUUUACUGGGCGUAAAGCGCCCGUAGGCGGCCUGACAAGUUGGACGUGAAAGCUCCUGGCUUAACUGGGAGAGGCCGUUCAAAACUGUCAAGCUAGAGUCUGGAAGAGGAGAGCGGAAUUCCCGGUGUAGUGGUGGAAUGCGUAGAGAUCGGGAGGAACACCAGUGGCGAAAGCGGCUCUCUGGGACGUUACUGACGCUGAGACGCGAAAGCGUGGGGAGCAAACAGG
This 253-nucleotide ribosomal RNA is filed under the name uncultured bacterium. RNAcentral describes it as "partial 16S ribosomal RNA". It matches the Rfam family "Bacterial small subunit ribosomal RNA", at positions 524 to 776 of the family's 1533-position model. The record is from RNAcentral.